GGAUGUGAGGGUGAUCUGGCUGAGAAAUCUGUCACCCCAUUGAUCACCAGGGUUAAUUCGGCUGAUCUGUCCCCUUCCUCCAUUACCGCUCCAUGUGUGUCCCUCACAAAGCUGCGCACUUGGUCAAAGAGGACGGCCUUCCCGGAAUAGAGACCGGUCUUCUGUCGAGGAUAUAGGAGAAGCUGUGCUGCCCAGCUAGAACCUCUAAACAAGCUCUCAAGAAGUUAUGGGAUUUAUAUUCCAUGGAAUACUACUGUGCAAUCAAAAAGACAAUAUUGGGGGGGGUAGCACUGUGGGAUAAGCACACAUGGCACCAAG
This 318-nucleotide small nuclear RNA is filed under the name Erinaceus europaeus (western European hedgehog). Its description in RNAcentral is "7SK RNA". It matches the Rfam family "7SK RNA", at positions 1 to 288 of the family's 331-position model. From Rfam's summary of the family: 7SK was discovered as an abundant small nuclear RNA in the mid-70s but a possible function has only recently been suggested. Two independent studies have found that 7SK RNA binds the CDK9/cyclin T complex (known as elongation factor P-TEFb). Lineage: Eukaryota; Metazoa; Chordata; Mammalia; Eulipotyphla; Erinaceidae. The record is from Rfam by way of RNAcentral.